CAGUCGCCGCGGUAAUACGGAGGGUGCAAGCGUUAAUCGGAAUUACUGGGCGUAAAGCGUGCGUAGGCGGUUCGUUAAGUCUGUUGUGAAAGCCCCGGGCUCAACCUGGGAAUGGCAAUGGAUACUGGCGAGCUAGAGUGUGUCAGAGGAUGGUGGAAUUCCCGGUGUAGCGGUGAAAUGCGCAGAGAUCGGGAGGAACAUCAGUGGCGAAGGCGGCCAUCUGGGACAACACUGACGCUGAGGCACGAAAGCGUGGGGAGCAAACAGGAUUAGAUACCCCGGUAGUCCCUGUCUCUUAUAU
Molecule: ribosomal RNA, 301 nt
Filed under: uncultured bacterium
Lineage: Bacteria
Description: partial 16S ribosomal RNA
Rfam family: Bacterial small subunit ribosomal RNA
Source: RNAcentral